RNAcentral lists this ribosomal RNA (279 nucleotides) under uncultured bacterium. RNAcentral's name for it is "partial 16S ribosomal RNA". It matches the Rfam family "Bacterial small subunit ribosomal RNA", at positions 506 to 784 of the family's 1533-position model. The record is from RNAcentral.
UGCCAGCCGCCGCGGUAAUACGGAGGGUACGAACGUUAAUCGGAAUUACUGGGCGUAAAGCGCGCGUAGGCGGUUUGUUAAGUGGGAUGUGAAAGCCCCGGGCUUAACCCGGGAACUGCAUUCCAAACUGACAGACUAGAGUAUGGUAGAGGGUAGUAGAAUUUCCUGUGUAGCGGUGAAAUGCGUAGAUAUAGGAAGGAAUACCGAUGGCGAAGGCAGCUGCCUGGACCAAUACUGACGCUGAGGUGCGAAAGCGUGGGGAGCAAACAGGAUUAGAUA